RNAcentral lists this small nuclear RNA (19 nucleotides) under Arabidopsis thaliana (thale cress). RNAcentral describes it as "snRNA_07508". Lineage: Eukaryota; Viridiplantae; Streptophyta; Magnoliopsida; Brassicales; Brassicaceae. The record is from RNAcentral.
CCCACUGGUUGCGAUAAAA